Molecule: long non-coding RNA, 2364 nt
Organism: Daphnia pulicaria
Lineage: Eukaryota; Metazoa; Arthropoda; Branchiopoda; Diplostraca; Daphniidae
Exons: 12
Source: RefSeq, a predicted model, not a curated record
CUUGUCUCAGUGUCUGACACUGUAACCACCAAUAGUUUAUACUUAUACCCAUCUCUGUAUGCUGCAAUUCUACAUAACAAUCUGCAAUUCUAUGUUUCAUCAAGGCAUUGCAUAGCAUUAACAGAUCAAUUGGAUCAUGGGCAUUUAAGUUUUUACAUCAAGUUGCUGAAUAAGCAAGACCUUUUUUAAGGUGAAGUUUUUGGGGACAUGGACCGAGCACAUCUUAAUUGCAAGGCAAGUGGGUGAAUACUUUGCGUAACCAGCUUCAGCUACAAACAUCAGCUUCACAGCCCAAUUUGUGGACAAAUGCAAAAGGUUCUCUCUUGACCAGUUAAUUGCUACUUCUGAAGCAGUUGAUGAUGAUGGUUAUCAAACAAACUAUAAUAGGGAUAUGUUCUAUCAUUUCCAUUCCCAAUAAAAAGCAUGCAGCAAACUUCUAAAUGCAAACAGAGUGAAAAAAAUGACAAGAAGCAAGAUUCUGUUUUAUUGGUUAUCAUCACAGAUUAUCUGUAAGUUAUGUUUUGACACAGAAUUUUGGGAAUGCAUCACAGACAGCAGUUUCAGGGCUAGGGGCUAUAAGGUCGACUAAGCUCUUUGUAUGUCAAUUCGUUGGCUGCUACCUGCUGGAUUUUCCCUCUUUGACUUUCUAAGAACGUACCUGCUCUUGAUUUGAAAUUUAUGCUGCGCCGCUAUUUAAUGAAUUAAUCCAGUAGGCGGAACCUGCCGAAAGAUCGGCAACGACUGUCGACUGACGGACGUGCUAUUAUUCUGCAAUACUGCUCACUUGCGUGCCAACUUUUCAUUGCCCCGAGGCAUGUGAGAGUUGAGCCUGCUCCAGCUACCCGGCCAGCAUCAUUUGUCUACACAGCCGACUGUACUACUACCCCAGCCCUCACCUAGCACGGAGUUUCUUGAGGGCGACGAGAUCAUGAUAUUGAUGAGGAGAAUAUGUUUUCGCAGUCGGAGUUUGCCGCUUUGGCUCUUUGCUGGCAGCUGGCAGCUGGCAGAGACGACAGAUGCGGACGUUUUUAAAUGCAAGACUGAAAAUGGCCAUCUUGCGGUUUGCGCGUUACUUUCAAGAUGGCUUCUGGCAUUCGACGAGAGUCGACAGCAAUUGACAGAUCCCAGCUGAAAUGGACCGUCCCGGUUUGUAGAAUUUGGCGUAACGCGUCUUCUACACUGCGGAGUGCGACGACCAGGGAUCGAAAGUGGCAACUUCAUCUCCUUUUCCCCCUCUCUUCGUGUACACGUUUGUGAGUGGGCUGAGCGUAAUCACCGAGUACGACUUUCCUCCAUUUAAUUCACCUAAUGUCAACUCCCAGUUUCUGUGUGGGCGGAUGGCGAGUGGCUCAUGGCGAGCAAAGCAACAACUAUGUAGUAAACAAUAGCCCGACAUUCGCGACACUAUGUUUGCUUCUGUUAUGGCUUCUGUAAUGAAUUUUCCUUGGUUUUACGGACCACAUAAAAAGAUGUGUACUUUUGUAGGCAAAUCUUUAGCUAACAUAAUGUAAUCACCGUAGUCCGUACCAGUAUUGUAGUUCUUAUACCGACACCCAUCUAUGUAUUCUACUAUUCUGUAAGACCUGUCAUCUUACAAGGUAUCACAUAAACUGGAUCAUGUAUCAUGGGCAUUCUAAAUGCUAACCUCAAGUUGCUGAAUGUUUCCUAUUUACUCACAGCUUUAUGUCUAAAAAGUUGCAGAUGUGUGCUUACAGGUGCUACAGUGAUCAAAUAGUUAAAUUCUAUGAUUGCCAUUCCCUGAUGAUGUACAGAAGUUUGAGCUAAUGGUGUCUGUUGUGUACCACAGCUACUAACUCCGAGAGGGAUUCUUGAAUGCGCCUUUAAUGAGAUUCAGUGAUUCUCGAUCUCGGAUCGUAACAUCGGAUCCGACAGAAUUAAUCACAGAAUCCGACAGCGGAUCGUGACUCUCCCGAGACUGAACUAAUUGACUUUGGAGAAUAACCUGUGUGUCCUAAGUAGUCGUGAAGUCAGCAAGGUUCAAGUUUAUUUAAACGCCAGUAAAGUUAUCUAUUGCGUCCCAACCAUUUACCUCAGGGACUUGAUCCUCGCCAUAGAUAACAAGUGUCAGCGGAUGAAAUGUAUUUUGCCAGAACUUCUCUCCUAUUGAGACGUCAUUCCUUCAAACUACAAUUUAGUUAUUCUGUUGUCAUUGUUUGUUGCCUUAGAUGAUUUAUUUUGAUAUAGUGUCUAACUUCUUCUUUAACGUUAGCAGCGCUUUUUUUUGGUUGCGCAGCAGUGUGAAGUACGAUAGCUUUUAAUUUCCUUUUAUGCUCAAAGAUUGGUCUAUGCUAUAGUAAUGUUGAUUCUACGCCAAAUAUUAAUAUGAUGUUUAUUGUUUACAGA